Gasterosteus aculeatus aculeatus (three-spined stickleback) is the source of this 1265-nucleotide long non-coding RNA. Lineage: Eukaryota; Metazoa; Chordata; Actinopteri; Perciformes; Gasterosteidae. The record is from Ensembl.
UCACCUUAUUGUGGUGGAGAGGUUUGUUUUGAACAUAGACCACUCUGGUUCAAUGUCCCCUACCUCCACAGGAAUGUGAGAGAAGCUCCGCCGGAGGUGUGAGUUGAAAAUCUUUUGGACCGGGGCCUCCUCCAGACGUUCCCAGUUCACCCUCACUACACGCUUGGGUUUACCGGGUCUGUCCCGAGUCUUCCCCCAUCCUCUGACCCAGCUCACAACCAGAUGGUGAUCAGUUGACAGCUCUGCCCCUCUCUUUACCCGAGUGUCCAGAACAUGCGGCCUCAGAUCAGACGAUACGAUUACAAAAUCGAUCAUUGAUCUUUGGCCUAGGGUGCUCUGGUACCACGUACACUUAUGAACAUCCUUAUGUUCGAACAUGGUGUUUGUUAUGGACAAUCCGUGACUAGCACAGAAGUCCAGUAACAAACACCCGCUCGGGUUCAGAUCAGGGAGGCCAUUCCUCCCAAUCACGCCUCUCCAGUUAUCUCCAUCGUCGCCCACGUGCGCAUUGAAGUCUCCCAGUAGGACUAUGGAGUCCCCUACAGGAGCCCCAUGCAGGACUCCAUUCAGGGUCUCCAAAAAGGCCGAAUACUCUGAGCUGCUGUUUGGUGCAUAUGCACAGACAACAGUCAGUUUUCCCCCCCACCACCCGAAGGCGUAGGGAGGCGACCCUUUUGUCCACUGGGGUAAACUCCAAUGUAGCAGCACUCAGCCGGGGACUUAUGAGUAUCCCCACACCCGCCUGGCGCCUCACACCAUGGGCCACUCCGGAGUAGAAUAGAGUCCACCCCCUAUCCAGGAGUUUGGUUCCAGAGCCGAGGCUGUGCGUAGAGGUAAGCCCCACCAGAUCCAACUGAUAACGCUCCACCUCCCGCACAAGCUCCGGCUCCUUCCCCCCCAGAGAGGUUACGUUCCACGUCCCCAGAGCCAGCAUCUGCCGCCCAGGUCUGUUCCGUCUAGACCCCCCACUGUCACUGCCACCCUUGUAGCAGCGCACCCGACCCCAUCGGUUUCCCCCACCGGUGGUGAGCCCAUGGGGAGUAGAGUGUUGGGCUGCCGCGUCACUCCUUCGGGCUGUGCCCGGCCGGGCUCCGCGGUAAACCCGGCCACCAGACGCUCGCUGUCGGGCCCUCCAUCUGGGCCUGGCUCCAAAUGGGGGCCCCGGGCUUCCUCCGGGCCGGGUAACUCCUUCCCUCUUCCGUUUUUUCAUGGGGAUCUUGAACCAUUCUUAGUCUGGCCCCUCGCCUGAGACCACUUUGCCAAGG